GAUGAAGAACGCAGCGAAAUGCGAUAAGUAGUGUGAAUUGCAGAAUUCAGUGAAUCAUCGAAUCUUUGAACGCACAUUGCGCCUUCUAGUAUUCUGGGAGGCAUGCCUGUUUGAGCGUCAUUAAACCUCUCUCAAGUAUGAUUACUUGGAUGUGAAGGAAGAGUACCUUAAACUUAAGGAGUGUACUCCUUUGAAAUUGAUUAGCAGAUGGUAAUGUUAUUAAAUCCCUGAUGUUGUAAGAAAUAACAGUGGUUUUGUAGACUAUUAUCUAGCUUUAAAUUAUAAUUUUUAUUAUGGUUGACCUCAAAUCAGGUAAGGAUACCCGCUGAACUUAAGCAUAUCAUAAGCGGAGGA
This 354-nucleotide unclassified non-coding RNA is filed under the name soil metagenome. RNAcentral's name for it is "partial contains 5.8S ribosomal RNA, internal transcribed spacer 2, and large subunit ribosomal RNA". The stretch from base 1 to 120 matches the Rfam family "5.8S ribosomal RNA", at positions 35 to 154 of the family's 154-position model. The record is from RNAcentral.